GUAUUGAUUGCGUGUGACCGCAAAAAUAACAUUCUACACUGUAUCGAGUUUGUGUGAAAACGUGAGCCCCCGAAAGGGGACCCACGCGGUGGUGCACAUAGGGGUGAGAUGGAUGUUUGAGAACGCUCGGGCGUGCACGACGAAAAAGUCAGCGACAGCCCUCGCGCCUCGGUUUUACGAUAAUGAUCCUUCCGCAGGUUCACCUACGGAAA
RNAcentral lists this unclassified non-coding RNA (212 nucleotides) under uncultured fungus. Its description in RNAcentral is "sequence contains ITS1". Lineage: Eukaryota; Fungi. The record is from RNAcentral.